Molecule: long non-coding RNA, 734 nt
Organism: Drosophila montana
Lineage: Eukaryota; Metazoa; Arthropoda; Insecta; Diptera; Drosophilidae
Exons: 2
Source: RefSeq, a predicted model, not a curated record
AUGUGACAUUAAAAUCGUUCUUAUGUUAAUAAAUUACAAAAUAAAUAUAUAUAAAUGUAUAUUCGACUUUGGCUUUAAUAUUUUUUGUUUAAUUCAUUUUCAAAUUGACUUCGUCAGUCGCUCUGAGUCUUAAAAGCAAUAAAUAAGGCUCAACAUUUGCAAAGCAACUCGAGAUGAUGUUAAAGAAGAAGACUGCAAUGCCCAUUGGAAUUUUAUAAAAGAACGAGAAAGUAAGAAUAUCUUUGGCCCGCCAAAAAUAUGCGGCUCGAAUAUGCUGUUCAAUAAAAACUAAAUAAGGAAAAAAGCAAGAAAAACUGCUUUUAAUAUUUAAAAUGCUCAAAAAAUAUUUUAAACAUGAAUGAAAUAGGCAAAAAGUAAACUUAUAGCUCUGUAAAAUGUUUGCUCCAGUUGACAAUUUCCGUUCCUACUGAGCCGAAGGUUGGCGCAUCACUUUCCAAUUGUCGCCAUGUGUUAUCAACAAGCCAAUUGGAAAAAGAAUUAAAGUAGCCCACAAAUGGGAAGCAGACAGAAAAGGAACAGCGAUGCGGAGUUCGCAAGUCGAGUAGAAGAUACCCUGUUCAGCACUUAAAGUGAUUUCAACUUUUCAAAUUUGAGGCCAUAAAGAACUAAUUCAAAUAUAAGAAUAUGCAAUGUUACGAAACAUUUGUUUACUUUGUUUCUUUUUAAAUUUAUAAUAUUAUAAUGUGAAGAUUUACACAAAAAUUAUAAAUAAA